RNAcentral lists this ribosomal RNA (425 nucleotides) under uncultured bacterium. Its description in RNAcentral is "partial 16S ribosomal RNA". It matches the Rfam family "Bacterial small subunit ribosomal RNA", at positions 354 to 796 of the family's 1533-position model. The record is from RNAcentral.
GUUAGGAAUAUUGGACAAUGGGCGCAAGCCUGAUCCAGCCAUGCCGCGUGAGUGAUGAAGGCCUUCGGGUUGUAAAGCUCUUUAGCCGAUGAUUAUAAUGACUGUAGUCGGAAAAUAAGCCCCGGCUAACUUCGUGCCAGCAGCCGCGGUAAUACGAAGGGGGCGAGCGUUAUUCGGAAUCACUGGGCGUAAAGCGUGCGUAGGCGGCUUUGCAAGUUGGGAGUGAAAGCCCAGGGCUCAACCCUGGAAUUGCUCUCAAAACUGCAAGGCUCGAAUUCGGGAGAGGAUAGCGGAAUUGUCAGUGUAGCAGUGAAAUGCGUAGAUAUUGACAGGAACACCAGUGGCGUAAGCGGCUAUCUGGACCGAUAUUGAUGCUGAGGCACGAAAGCGUGGGGAUCAAACAGGAUUAGAAACCCGGGUAGUCC